GAGUUUGAUCAUGGCUCAGAGCGAACGCUGGCGGCAGGCCUAACACAUGCAAGUCGAACGGACCCUUCGGGGUUAGUGGCGGACGGGUGAGUAACACGUGGGAACGUGCCUUUAGGUUCGGAAUAGCUCCUGGAAACGGGUGGUAAUGCCGAAUGUGCCCUUCGGGGGAAAGAUUUAUCGCCUUUAGAGCGGCCCGCGUCUGAUUAGCUAGUUGGUGAGGUAAUGGCUCACCAAGGCGACGAUCAGUAGCUGGUCUGAGAGGAUGACCAGCCACACUGGGACUGAGACACGGCCCAGACUCCUACGGGAGGCAGCAGUGGGGAAUCUUGCGCAAUGGGCGAAAGCCUGACGCAGCCAUGCCGCGUGAAUGAUGAAGGUCUUAGGAUUGUAAAAUUCUUUCACCGGGGACGAUAAUGACGGUACCCGGAGAAGAAGCCCCGGCUAACUUCGUGCCAGCAGCCGCGGUAAU
Molecule: ribosomal RNA, 469 nt
Filed under: uncultured Brevundimonas sp.
Lineage: Bacteria; Pseudomonadati; Pseudomonadota; Alphaproteobacteria; Caulobacterales; Caulobacteraceae
Description: bacterial SSU rRNA
Rfam family: Bacterial small subunit ribosomal RNA
Source: RNAcentral